GGAGUCUGGACCGUUUCUCAGUUCCAAUGUGGCCGUUCAACCUCUCAGUUCGGCUAAUGAUCGUAGAUUUGGUAGGCCGUUACCCUGCCAACUGUCUAAUCAUACGCGAGCCCAUCAUACAGCAAUUGCUCUUUGACAUCAGAAACAUGCGAUCCCAAUGUGUCAUGCGGUAUUAGCACAAGUUUCCCUGUGUUAUCCCCCACUGUAUGGCAGGUUGCUCACGCGUUACUCACCCGUCCGCCACUGAUCCGUCCCCGAAGGGACUUCACCGUUCGACUUGAAUGUGUUAUGCACGCCGCCAGCGUUCAUC
Molecule: ribosomal RNA, 310 nt
Filed under: uncultured Ruminococcus sp.
Lineage: Bacteria; Bacillati; Bacillota; Clostridia; Eubacteriales; Oscillospiraceae
Description: partial 16S ribosomal RNA
Source: RNAcentral